This 494-nucleotide ribosomal RNA is filed under the name uncultured bacterium. RNAcentral's name for it is "partial 16S ribosomal RNA". It matches the Rfam family "Bacterial small subunit ribosomal RNA", at positions 30 to 523 of the family's 1533-position model. The record is from RNAcentral.
AUUGAACGCUGGCGGCACGCUUAACACAUGCAAGUCAAGGGGUAGACAUCUUCGGAUGUUGAGACCGGCGCACGGGUGCGUAACGCGUAUGCAAUCUACCUUAUACUAAGGGAUAGCCCAGAGAAAUUUGGAUUAAUACCUUAUGGUUAAUAAAGCCGGCAUCGGUUUAAUUAUAAAGAUUUAUUGGUAUAAGAUGAGCAUGCGUCCCAUUAGUUAGUUGGUAAGGUAACGGCUUACCAAGACGAUGAUGGGUAGGGGUCCUGAGAGGGAGAUCCCCCACACUGGUACUGAGACACGGACCAGACUCCUACGGGAGGCAGCAGUGAGGAAUAUUGGUCAAUGGACGGAAGUCUGAACCAGCCAUGCCGCGUGCAGGAUGAAGCAUCUAUGGUGUGUAAACUGCUUUUGUACGGGAAGAAAAAAAGCUACGUGUAGUUUACUGACGGUACCGUAAGAAUAAGGAUCGGCUAACUCCGUGCCAGCAGCCGCAGUAA